GGGCACCUGCCCGGGCACCGGCCCCGUGGCCGUCAACGGCCCCAUCACCGUCGCCACACCGGAGGCUGCACCGGCACCACCGCCGUCACUGUCAUCUCGUCGCCGGCACCGGCGGCGGGCGGCGUCGCUUUCAAAAGCACCGGCCUCGGCUCCGACACCGGCACCCGGCUCGGCGCCGAUACGUUCAGCGUCUACCGCACGGCAGAAACGAUGCUGCGCUCCGUGACGGUGCUGGGGCCGUCCCAGUGUCUUUGACAGUGGCCUCCCAGCGGUGAAGAAGGGAAGUGCCUGCAGUCGCAGUAGAAGCUGCGUUCCGGCCAAAUCGCGUUGGACGUCGUGAGGCCGUCAGACGGCUUGUGACCGAAGAGCGACCGCCCGGUCGUCCAUAGGACGCUGGCAGCACGGGAGAAAUGUCGGGACUGCAGGUCGGGCAAGGAGCAGCCUAUGGCGGCAGAAGCGAGCCUGAAGUCGUCAGGAGGGCAAGGUUAGGUUUGGUGACUGCCUGACAGGCGCUCACCAAGGCGGUGGCGGAGCCGACACCUGUAGAGAUACCUGCAAAGGUGAAGGUACCUGAGGAAGGAGACUGCCAUGGGUGACGGUCAGAGGGACAGCCACCCUACUGACCAGGACAGAUCGAAUGGAUUCAAGGCAGUUACUAUCUGUACUCUUCCAACCUGGUCACGGAACCAUGGUUAUGGUUUCUCUGUGUUGCCCUGACUGUUCUGAAACUUGCUCUGUAGACCAGGCUGACCUAGAUCUCACAGAGACCUGCCUGUCGCUGAGACAUGUGCCAUCACCACCCUGCCAUAACUUUUUUUUGCCUAAUGGACUCAGAAUUCAUGGUUCUUUAUACGUUCAAUUAACCUUCAUCUACGUGUUGCUCUUGGAUUCAUGAAGUGAGGGAGAGUUGGAGGGUUAGAUGGUCCUGGAUGUGAAAGAAGGGUCUGGGAUAAUGGUGGGUCCCCUACACUGACAUAUGGAGGCACUGCUGUUCUUCCAGGAUACCUCAGUUCAAUUCCCAGCAAGCACAUGAGAACUGAGAGAUGCCCCACGAUACGGGAUCUUGCCUCAAGAUAUUUGCCUUUACCGCGGAUGAUGUCUCCUGAACUGCUGUGCUGACCUGAAAUUCAAGAUAGUCGCACUUUGAAGAAAAUGACCCUUUCUAGGACUUUAAUGUGCUGGUGUGUGAAGUUAAACUCAAAAUCCAAAGAAAACAACUUGAAUCAACACAAUGAAAGUUCCCUUGUUUACAGAUUGAAAUGGAGAGUUGACUCUUUUUGUCUGUCAGGAGUGAAGGCAAGCCUGAUCCUCAUCUAACUUUGAUGUCAUUUAUGGUCUUUGUGGUUUUUGCCCUUAAAAACUCUGUAUAUGUGAGGUUUUUUUUUCCAGAAGCACAAGACUGUGUUUGGUCUGUCUAUCAAUAAGAAGGACAUAAAGCUAUUAACUGGUUAAAUCAGUGUGGUUGUCAAAAACUACCUCUAGUGGAUCAUUUCAUGCCAAUCCUUAAAGAAAUAUCCAGCCUGCACAAAACAUGUUGAUCAUCUGGGUACCUUGCCAAUCUAUUUAAUGCAGAGUCAGUCUGUCUCAUGAAGAGUUGGCCAUUUACAUACAAGUCCAACCUCCUCAUUGAAGUAGAUUCUUUCCCUAAAAACCCAGCUGUUGCUUCACCACUGCAGCUCAUCAACGAGGCUGUAAAGACCUGAGCAAGAGCAUUACUAGGCUUGCGGCUCUGGCACUGGAAGAGGGAAAGCUCAGAAGGCCUCAGCACAAGAUAAAAAAAAAUUGGGCGGCCCUGCCCUAUAUCAAAUGACAGACUAUGGACACCCCCAUGGAGGGCCUCACCCUCCCUGGGGAAAUGAGGGGAUA
Mesocricetus auratus (golden hamster) is the source of this 1866-nucleotide long non-coding RNA. RefSeq lists it as uncharacterized. The record is from RefSeq and is a predicted model, not a curated record. The transcript is spliced from 3 exons. Lineage: Eukaryota; Metazoa; Chordata; Mammalia; Rodentia; Cricetidae.